This 504-nucleotide long non-coding RNA is filed under the name Equus caballus (horse). RNAcentral's name for it is "lncRNA (ENSECAG00000034677.3)". The record is from RNAcentral. Lineage: Eukaryota; Metazoa; Chordata; Mammalia; Perissodactyla; Equidae.
CCUGCCUCUAGGCUUGCGGAACCAACUGCUGGGAGGCAGCUGGGUUUGCAGAGAGGCCGGUGGUCAGCAGCACCUGUGCACCAAUGUUAGGAAUAAAGAGAGCAGAGGAGAUUGGAAGCCAGAGAUUCUCCGAGGACAACCACAGGAUGUGACCAUAAAGCCCUACGUCUAAGGGCAGAUGCAGGGAGGCUAUCAGUCCCUUCUUGGAACGGUUCUUCAAAAUUUACAGUAUGGAAAGCCCAGCGGUGAUGUUCAAGCCUCUACUGAGAAAACAGCAAGGGCUUUGGAUCAGGACAGACCUGGAGCAAAAGAGAAAGAAAUCAGAUGGAAACGAAUCCAUCCAAGUGGAUUAGGUAGAGCAAGUCAGCUUUCUUUAACCCUGAGCUCAAAUUCCAGCCUCUCCUUGAAAUACAGGUAGUUCUUUAUUUACAGAGCAUUAUGUCAACACAGACUUGUGCAUAUGGGAACUGGACACUUGCUUUGUAUGUUUCUUUGGUAACUGAG